Molecule: ribosomal RNA, 617 nt
Filed under: Megasphaera elsdenii
Lineage: Bacteria; Bacillati; Bacillota; Negativicutes; Veillonellales; Veillonellaceae
Description: partial 23S ribosomal RNA
Rfam family: Bacterial large subunit ribosomal RNA
Source: RNAcentral
CGACGGCGUGCCUAUUGAAGAAUGAACCGGCGAGUUACUUCAGCUAGCGAGGUUAAGCGGAAAACGUGGAGCCGAAGCGAAAGCGAGUCUGAACAGGGCGUAUAGUUAGUUGGAGUAGACCCGAAACCACAGUGAUCUACCCAUGUCCAGGUUGAAGCACAGGUAAAAAUGUGUGGAGGACCGAACCAGUGAGCGUUGAAAAGCUUUUGGAUGAGAUGUGGGUAGGGGUGAAAUGCCAAUCGAACGUGGAGAUAGCUGGUUCUCCCCGAAAUAGCUUUAGGGCUAGCCUCAUGGCGAGAGUACAGGCGGUAGAGCACUGAACGGGGUAGGGGCCUAUCCGGCUACUGAACCUAAUCAAACUGCGAAUGGCUGUACUUAUCCAUGGGAGUCAGACUGUGAGUAAUAAGGCCCAUAGUCAAGAGGGAAACAGCCCAGACCAACAGCUAAGGUCCCCAAUGCCGUACUAAGUGGCGAAGGAUGUGGAAUUUCGAAAACAACCAGGAUGUUGGCUCAGAAGCAGCCACCAUUAAAAGAGUGCGUAAUAGCUCACUGGUCGAGAGACUCUGCGCCGAAGAUGUCCGGGGCUAAAGUACGGAACCGAAGCUUUGGCAAUUGAC